UGAGGAAUAUUGGUCAAUGGCCGAGAGGCUGAACCAGCCAAGUCGCGUGAGGGAAGAAUGUCCUAUGGAUUGUAAACUUCUUUUAUAAAGGAAUAAAGUCGGGUAUGGAUACCCGUUUGCAUGUACUUUAUGAAUAAGGAUCGGCUAACUCCGUGCC
This 157-nucleotide ribosomal RNA is filed under the name uncultured bacterium. RNAcentral describes it as "partial 16S ribosomal RNA". It matches the Rfam family "Bacterial small subunit ribosomal RNA", at positions 355 to 509 of the family's 1533-position model. The record is from RNAcentral.